AGAUUGAACGCUGGCGGCAUGCCUUACACAUGCAAGUCGAACGGCAGCGCGGGGCAACCUGGCGGCGAGUGGCGAACGGGUGAGUAAUAUAUCGGAACGUACCCUGGAGUGGGGGAUAACGUAGCGAAAGUUACGCUAAUACCGCAUACGAUCUAAGGAUGAAAGUGGGGGAUCGCAAGACCUCAUGCUCCUGGAGCGGCCGAUAUCUGAUUAGCUAGUUGGUAGGGUAAAGGCCUACCAAGGCAUCGAUCAGUAGCUGGUCUGAGAGGACGACCAGCCACACUGGAACUGAGACACGGUCCAGACUCCUACGGGAGGCAGCAGUGGGGAAUUUUGGACAAUGGGCGCAAGCCUGAUCCAGCAAUGCCGCGUGAGUGAAGAAGGCCUUCGGGUUGUAAACCGCUUUCAGCAGGGACGAAAUUGACGGUACCUGCAGAAGAAGCCCGGCCAACUACGUGCCAGCAGCCGCGGU
This 472-nucleotide ribosomal RNA is filed under the name uncultured bacterium. RNAcentral's name for it is "SSU rRNA". It matches the Rfam family "Bacterial small subunit ribosomal RNA", at positions 26 to 521 of the family's 1533-position model. The record is from RNAcentral.